Stegastes partitus (bicolor damselfish) is the source of this 412-nucleotide long non-coding RNA. RefSeq lists it as uncharacterized. Lineage: Eukaryota; Metazoa; Chordata; Actinopteri; Pomacentridae. The transcript has 4 exons. The record is from RefSeq and is a predicted model, not a curated record.
AGAGAAAUCGGACUGCAGCGCGUCCCCAAUUUUUCUGUUGCCCUAAGUCCAGUUAUCACAUCCUGGCAAGAUGCUUGGGAGAGCAGUGCCUACUUGUGGGGCGUCAGUUCAGCUAUUGGACUGAACAGCAGCACCUUCCUUCAACCUCCACCCAGGCAGCGCAGUUGCUGUGCAUGGGAAACUGAGCGCCCAGAUAGUUGCUGCUUUGAGAUCCAAACCUUCCCUCGGAGCAGCACCCUGCCUCUGGCCCAUGUACAGCCGACUGACUACGGCACAGAGCCCAGCAGGAGGAGGCUGCUGACAGAGUACCAGUCCAGCUAUGCUGCUGAGUGGGCCCAACCUAAGCGUCGGCAAGGUGACUUUCACCAUCAUCUUCCUCCUUGUCACUGGAAUUUCCGUCCUUCAGUCUGAA